Molecule: long non-coding RNA, 406 nt
Organism: Trifolium pratense (red clover)
Lineage: Eukaryota; Viridiplantae; Streptophyta; Magnoliopsida; Fabales; Fabaceae
Exons: 3
Source: RefSeq, a predicted model, not a curated record
UAAGUACUAAGCUGUAUUAAAUUGAAGCAAACAAAGUAUAUAUGGAGUAUUUUAUUAUGUAAACUAAUGAAAAGAGUUUUUGUUUGAAUCAAAGGACAUAAAGAAAAAUAUGGCCAAAAUUCUCAAUUUUUUUUAUGUUGUGUUCCUCUUUCUUUUAUUAGUUCUUGUUUUAACGGACACUUACAGUUAUAAUUGUCUUAUUGACAUCGAUUGUGCACGUAAUAAUUGCACUUUACCUGAAAAGUCGAUUUGCUUGAUGAGUUGGUGUUAUUGCACUUAAUAGGAGAAGAAGAAUUACACAAGAAAAGUAAUUGUCACAAACAACUAUUUAUCUUGUAUAUUUUUUUUAUGGGCUAUUUAUAUUGUAUAUUAUCUCACACAAACAAAAUAAUGAUAUUUUUCUACA